This 484-nucleotide ribosomal RNA is filed under the name uncultured bacterium. RNAcentral's name for it is "partial 16S ribosomal RNA". It matches the Rfam family "Bacterial small subunit ribosomal RNA", at positions 30 to 507 of the family's 1533-position model. The record is from RNAcentral.
AUUGAACGCUGGCGGCAGGCCUAACACAUGCAAGUCGAGCGGAUGAAGGGAGCUUGCUCCUGGAUUCAGCGGCGGACGGGUGAGUAAUGCCUAGGAACCUGCCUGGUAGUGGGGGAUAACGUCCGGAAACGGGCGCUAAUACCGCAUACGUCCUGAGGGAGAAAGUGGGGGAUCUUCGGACCUCACGCUAUCAGAUGAGCCUAGGUCGGAUUAGCUAGUUGGUGGGGUAAAGGCCUACCAAGGCGACGAUCCGUAACUGGUCUGAGAGGAUGAUCAGUCACACUGGAACUGAGACACGGUCCAGACUCCUACGGGAGGCAGCAGUGGGGAAUAUUGGACAAUGGGCGAAAGCCUGAUCCAGCUAUGCCGCGUGUGUGAAGAAGGUCUUCGGAUUGUAAAGCACUUUAAGUUGGGAGGAAGGGCAGUAAGUUAAUACCUUGCUGUUUUGACGUUACCAACAGAAUAAGCACCGGCUAACUUCGUG